RNAcentral lists this unclassified non-coding RNA (253 nucleotides) under uncultured Sphingomonadaceae bacterium. RNAcentral describes it as "contains 16S-23S intergenic spacer region". It matches the Rfam family "Bacterial small subunit ribosomal RNA", at positions 524 to 776 of the family's 1533-position model. The record is from RNAcentral. Lineage: Bacteria; Pseudomonadati; Pseudomonadota; Alphaproteobacteria; Sphingomonadales; Sphingomonadaceae.
UACGGAGGGGGCUAGCGUUGUUCGGAAUUACUGGGCGUAAAGCGUACGUAGGCGGCUAUUCAAGUCAGAGGUGAAAGCCCGGGGCUCAACUCCGGAAUUGCCUUUGAGACUGAAUGGCUUGAACACGGGAGAGGUGAGUGGAAUUCCGAGUGUAGAGGUGAAAUUCGUAGAUAUUCGGAAGAACACCAGUGGCGAAGGCGGCUCACUGGACCGUUGUUGACGCUGAGGUACGAAAGCGUGGGGAGCAAACAGG